Molecule: long non-coding RNA, 323 nt
Organism: Ornithorhynchus anatinus (platypus)
Lineage: Eukaryota; Metazoa; Chordata; Mammalia; Monotremata; Ornithorhynchidae
Exons: 3
Source: RefSeq, a predicted model, not a curated record
CAACGACCCGUCAGAUGGCCUCUCCCCUUCACGGCUACUUCCACGUUCGCGAGAGCCUUCGGCGGGCUCCCGGCUGGACGAUUUCUUCGGCCCAAACUACAACCUGGAAGAGUCCAUCUGGUGGGAAAGAGAAGUGAAAGAAGACUGCCUGGAGGAACGAGCGCAGGCCUGAAAGGCAGAAGAUCACCACCGCCUAUCUGCAUUGUGGCUUUGGCCAAAAGCGCAACCUGGAAGAGUCCAUCUGGCGGGAAAGAGAAGUGAAAGAAGACUGGAGGAAAGAGCCUGGAGGAACGAGCGCAGGUCUGGAAGGCAGAAGAUCUGGU